AAGCUAUUAGUUAAACUAAUAAAAUAUAAGUUUUAUAUAUAAAAAAUAAACUUCCUAAAAUAUAUAAUAUAAUUAAAUAAAAUAUAAAUAAAAAAGUCUAAAAUAAAAGUAAUAAAAAACUAAUUAAUAUUAAAAAAUAUUAAGGAUAUAUAAAGCUUUAAAAGCUUUAUAAACUAUUAUAAGAAAUUUAUUAAAAGCUAUAAUAAAAUUAUAAUACCCUU
Molecule: transfer RNA, 221 nt
Filed under: Metarhizium anisopliae
Lineage: Eukaryota; Fungi; Ascomycota; Sordariomycetes; Hypocreales; Clavicipitaceae
Description: tRNA-Ile
Source: RNAcentral